This is a long non-coding RNA of Sapajus apella (tufted capuchin), 1710 nucleotides long. RefSeq lists it as uncharacterized. NCBI's taxonomy places the organism in Eukaryota, Metazoa, Chordata, Mammalia, Primates, Cebidae. The transcript has 4 exons. The record is from RefSeq and is a predicted model, not a curated record.
AAGGCUGCAGUGAGCUAUGAUCACACCACUGCACUCUAGCCUGAGCGACGGAGCAAGAUCCCAUUUCUGCAAAAAUGGAUGGGUGAAUUAAUUAAUUACAUUUCAAAAUAGAGAUUUAAUGGCAAAAUGAGAAUUGUUAUGUACAUGAUUUCUGAAGUGGCUUACAUAAUAUAAUUUUGGAAAUGAAAGCCCUGAAAAAUAGCUUCUUAUUUUAAGGAUGAACAGACUGGGAUUUAUUUCUGAAAUUCUGUAAUUCUCAGUCAGUUGUAAGGCUUUCAUUAUGUAAUAGACUUUUUUUUAACCAACGGUAUAUAAUAGACUUUUUUUAACCAACAGAAGUUGGACCUCUUCAAAAUGUAAGGUCCAAAAAGAUUUCGGGCAUUGUUUGAAUAACCCCCUUCUCCAGAGGAGACUGUUUUUGAAAAAUGAUUGUUUCUGAUGUGUUAAAAUUGAUUAUUUUUGUCACCCCGAAUGCACCAAAGCAUUAUAUGCCAUAUUUAUUGCCAAGAGUAGCUGUAUAGCUUGUGGGAGACGGUUAGCUUGAAGCCUUCUUGCAUCUGGAAGUAUGGGGAGAGAGAAGGCUCUUCACAUUCCCUUUCAUGUUAUAUUCUAAAGGGAAGGGAUUUCCAUCCUACAGACACUAGGUGACUCUCUUGUGGAUAAUUUCAAUUACCAAUGAUACAUGGGUGUUGCUCUGUGCCAGGCACUGUGCUAGGAGCUGAUGCCAAGGCUCAGCUGAUGGGCUACUGACAUGAGGGCCUGUGCUCCUCAGUGGCGCUCUGUAGGUAAAUACAGAGCCACCGUCUACUGGGGGCUUCUCCUGAGUGUGACAGUGUGGGCUGGGACACGAUGCUACCCUCGAAGAGCUUGAAGUUAGAUUCUGUGCACAGAUAUAUUUAGAAUAAAUGCAGAGAUGCAAUAACAAGAUGUCUUAGAAAAAAGAAAAACAAGAAAUGCAGAGGGAAAGGGAAAUGUAUAAAAGGUAGACAGACACAACACAAGUUUACAGGAAAGAAAGGUUAUCUGUGGCUGGCAUGAUCAGGAAAUGCUUUAUGGAUAAAGAAAGGUCAUGUUGGUCUUGAGGACUUGGAGAGAGAGUGUCUUCGUUCAAGGAAACAUGAGCAAAGGCAUAGGUAGUGAUGGGAAAUGCCAGGGUACGGAGUAGCAAAGGGAGAUGUCAGGCUAGAGAGGUGAGCAGGAACCGGAACAAGAAAUGCCUUGGAAGCUAUGUGAGGCUUGGAAUUCACCUGUGAAGAAAAUAGUAGCCUCUUCUGAAUUCCUUGCCUCGAUCAUGGUCUCCAACAGAAGGUUAAAUGGCUGUGGAGUCUAGAGGUUUUUUCCUUCAGUGUGGGUGUCACCUGUUCUGAAAGGAUGGUGUAAUGGCUAAUUGUGUCAGUAUGGCGAGGCCACAGUACCCAGAUACUUGGUCAAGCAUCAGAAUAGAUGUCACUGUGCAGGUAUUUUUUUAGAUGGGGUUAACAUUUAUAUCAGUAGACUUUGAGUGAAGCAGAUUAUCCUUUGUAGGCCUCAUAUAUAAAGUCCCUGAAGAAAAAGGAAUUCUGUCUCUGGCUCCCUUCAGACUCAAGACUGCAACACUGGCCUGGUGCCCUGGCUCACACCUGUAAUCCUAGCACUUGGGGAGGCUGAGAUGAGUGGAUCACUUGAGAUCAGGGGUUCAAGACCAGCCUGGCCAACACGGUGAAAACCCAU